This is a long non-coding RNA of Oncorhynchus kisutch (coho salmon), 1576 nucleotides long. The record is from Ensembl. NCBI's taxonomy places the organism in Eukaryota, Metazoa, Chordata, Actinopteri, Salmoniformes, Salmonidae.
AUGCAACUAGAGGCAGUGAAGGAGUUAGAGGAGCGACUGGAAGCUGUUAAAGAGGAGCGGAGCCAGCUGAAGACUGACCUUCAGGACAAUGUAGACAUGGUGAGGAAAUAUUAUGCACUGCGUUAUUCAUAAGAGACGUGAGAUUGAAAUGUGCUUGUUGCACAAAGAUUUUAAUCAGUAAUCUGCUCUUACUCUACUUUUAUGAAAUGUGUGCAUGUAAAUGCAAUUAAUUUUUUAACCAUUGUUUUAGUUGAUUGAGAAUCAAGAGGAACUAAGGGAGGCUCAAGAGAAGAUCAAAUCGCUACAGGGGAAAAUCCAACGACUUCAGACUCAGAAUGCAGAUGUUGAGACAAGAUUGAACAACAUAAAUGUUCCAGAGAAUACGUCCUGUCUAGGAGAGCUGCAAAACCAGGUGAGGUUCUUAGUCAGUUGUCGCCACGAUGUACUACCUAAAUGCAACCAAUGUGUAGGUUGAAUAUAUUUUUUAUCUCCAAAACCAAUCACAAAGAUAAGGCAGCUGAAUGAGGAGCUAAAGUCUGUACGAGCUGAGAGCGAGCGUCUCCUGUCUGAGACGACAGAUGGCUCUCAGAAUCAUGCAGGGGAGUUGGAGAAGCUGCUCUCUACUGUGACCUCACUGACUGAAGAGAGAGACCAGCUCCAGGAGAUACUGGAGGGAAUCCGAGAGGAGAGGAACCAGCUCAAGAGAGACCUGGAGGACAAAGUGGAGAUGAUCAUACAAGUACAUACAGAACCUAAACAUCAGCAACAUCUGUACUCAGAGCAACCGACUGAGAGGGAACAUCAAGAAGCUCAACUUCAGCAGCAACUAGGAGAGGAACUGGAAACCAUGACACAGGAGCGGUGUCAGUUGAAGGGUGACCUGCAGGAACAUCUGGAGAUGGCUGCAGAGACUCAGGGACUUCUCCAUUCCAUCCAAGAGGAGCUCAGACAACAGAGACAAGUGAACUCUGACCUUGAGAGCCAAAGUUUACAGAAGGAGUCUCUUCUAGAACAGCAGGUUAAUAGCCUUUUUCCUUUGUGACAUGUAGCCUCUUCAGAUCACAUGCAUAUUGAUGAAACAUUUCACCUGUUUCCCCCCCUGAUAAAGGCUAAGCAGCUGAAUGAGGAGCUUGAGUCUGUGCGAGCUGAGAGAGAGAGUCUCCUGUCUGAGAAGACAGACAGCUCUCAGAAUCAUGCAGAGGAGUUGGAGAAGCUGCGCUCUACUGUGACCUCACUGACUGGAGAGAGAGACCAGCUCCAGGAGAUACUGGAGGGAAUCCGAGAGGAGAGGAACCAGCUCAAGAGAGACCUGGAGGACAAAGUGAAGAUGGUGAAUGAUGGAUUACACAAUGUUUAGACAAUGCUCACACUAAUUACAAUCAAAGCUUUUUAUAUUACAAGUUUACAUUUUAUAUUUUUUUCAGGUUGAAAACCAGGAGGAACUACGGGAGGCACUUGAAAAUAUGAAACCUAUGGCGACUGCAAAUCUAGAGGAGCUGCAAAGUCAGGUAAAAUGUGGUUUUACUUGCACCACAGAAUUCAUUGUCACAUCAAUUGAAGUGUAGAUUCUAAUAUG